GGAAAGAUGCUCGAGUGGUUGAAGAGGCACGCCUGGAAAGCGUGUAUACCCCUAAAGGGUAUCGGGGGUUCGAAUCCCCCUCUUUCCG
This 88-nucleotide transfer RNA is filed under the name Prevotella intermedia. RNAcentral's name for it is "tRNA-Ser(gga)". It matches the Rfam family "tRNA". Rfam says of the family: Transfer RNA (tRNA) molecules are approximately 80 nucleotides in length. Their secondary structure includes four short double-helical elements and three loops (D, anti-codon, and T loops). The record is from RNAcentral. RNAcentral also lists the same sequence under 6 other names. Lineage: Bacteria; Pseudomonadati; Bacteroidota; Bacteroidia; Bacteroidales; Prevotellaceae.